CCUACGGGUGGCAGCAGUGAGGAAUAUUGGUCAAUGGACGAGAGUCUGAACCAGCCAAGUAGCGUGAAGGAUGACUGCCCUAUGGGUUGUAAACUUCUUUUAUAUGGGAAUAAAACGUUCCACGUGUGGGAUUUUGUAUGUACCAUAUGAAUAAGGAUCGGCUAACUCCGUGCCAGCAGCCGCGGUAAUACGGAGGAUCCGAGCGUUAUCCGGAUUUAUUGGGUUUAAAGGGAGCGUAGGUGGCAUGUUAAGUCAGUUGUGAAAGUUUGCGGCUCAACCGUAAAAUUGCAGUUGAAACUGGCAGUCUUGAGUACAGUAGAGGUGGGCGGAAUGCGUGGUGUAGCGGUGAAAUGCUUAGAUAUUACGAAGAACUCCGAUUGCGAAGGCAGUUCACUGGACUGCAACUGACACUGAGGCUCGAAAGUGUGGGUAUCAAACAGGAUUAGAUACCCGUGUAGUC
RNAcentral lists this ribosomal RNA (460 nucleotides) under uncultured bacterium. RNAcentral describes it as "partial 16S ribosomal RNA". It matches the Rfam family "Bacterial small subunit ribosomal RNA", at positions 338 to 795 of the family's 1533-position model. The record is from RNAcentral.